Molecule: RNA transcript, 2667 nt
Organism: Juglans microcarpa x Juglans regia
Lineage: Eukaryota; Viridiplantae; Streptophyta; Magnoliopsida; Fagales; Juglandaceae
Gene name: disease resistance protein RUN1-like
Exons: 4
Source: RefSeq, a predicted model, not a curated record
UCAUACUAAUUUAUUGGUAUUGAGUAAGCAAAUCUAAAAAAAAAAAAAAAAAAAAAAAAAAAAACCUUUUAACUAGACCUUGUGGAAGAUCUUCUACAUCAGCUACUAUAACAAUUUAUAUAUUAGUCAUGAUUUUUUUCUAAACUUAUUUUGUAAUUGUAAUGGGUGAUAUAUACUAUAGUUGAUGUGUUGACACACCGACUUAUAAAUAAUGAAACUCCAUAUCUUUUUAUGUGAAAAAUGUGACUCAUUGAAUGUUCUUUUUCCUUGUAUUGGCAGGAAUGAAUAUGAAUUUAUGCAUAAAAUCAUUGAAUGUGUGGACUCUACAAUAUUUAAAUCUACAUACCAGUUAGACAUUGCUGAGUAUCCAAUUGGACUGGAGUCUCGUCUAAAUGACUUGAAUACUAAUUUAGAAAUUGGAAGAAAUGACAUCACUCUCAUGAUAGGGAUUUAUGGAACUGGUGGAAUUGGUAAAACAACUCUCGCCAAAGCAAUCUUUAACUCAAUUGGAGAUCAAUUUGAAGCUAGAUGUUUUCUAGCAAAUGUUAGAGAGAUUUCGAGUCGAGAGGACGGUUUGGUCAAACUGCAAGAGAAGCUUCUUUAUGAGCUCUUAGGAAACUUUGGAAGUUUAAAUAUUGGCGGUGUUGGAGGUUCUAAUGUUAUAAAGCUUAUGCUUUGCUCUAAAAGGGUACUUAUAAUUCUUGAUGAUGUGAAUGAAUUGCGCCAAUUAAAAGAAAUAGCUGGAAAUCAUAAUUGGUUCGGCCCAGGAAGUAGAAUAGUAAUAACAACAAGAGAUCAACAUCUAUUAACUUAUCAUCAAGUUGAUUCAACGUACGAAGUGCAGGGAUUGGACCACAACCAAGCUAUUCAACUAUUUAGUUGGCACACAUUUAAAAGAGAGAAGCCAAUUGAAAGUCAUGUAGAACUCACAACAUGUAUAAUAGGUUAUGCUAAGGGCCUUCCACUAGCUCUUACAGUACUUGGUUCAGAUUUAUGUGGUAGAAGUAUACAAGAAUGGAAAAGUGCAUUGGAAAAGUAUGAAAGAAGUCCUCAUAAGGAUAUUUAUGAAAUUCUUAAAAUAAGCUAUGAUGGGCUGGAUGAUAAUGAAAAGGAUAUUUUUCUUGACAUUGCAUGUUUCUUCAAGGGAAACUCUGUUGAAUAUGUCACGAAAAUACUAGACAGUUGUUGUUUUUCAUCAUCUAUUGGCAUUGCAAGGCUUAAAGAUAAGUGUCUCAUCAAUAUUUGUUACCAGUGUGUGGAGAUGCAUGACUUAUUGCAAGAAAUGGGUAAAGAAAUUGUUCGACAAGAAUCGCUUAAAGAAGUUGGCAAGCGCAGUAGAUUGUGGUUUUAUGAAGAUGUUCGCCAUGUAUUAGAAGAAAAUACGGGAACAAACACAAUCGAAGCGAUUUUGUUAGAUUUUCCUGAAGGCCAUCAUCACAUGAUAUGCUUGCAUUCCAAGGCAUUUAAAAAGAUGAAGAAUCUUCGAUUAUUGUUUAUAAAUUGGAAUGCACAAUUUUCUGCAGGACCGAAUUAUCUCUCUAAUGAGAUAAGAGUGCUUGAUUGGAAAUAAUCUCGUUGAAUUUCGAAUGCCUAGUAGCCUCAUCAAGGAGUUAGGCGGCCUAAAAUCCAAGAACUUGACAGUUAUGGAUUUAAAUGAGUGUCAAUUCUUAACAAAAAUUCCUGAUCUUUCAAGUAGCCCAAAUUUAGAGGAGUUGGAUCUUAGAUAUUGUAAGAACUUAGUUGAGGUUCAUCAUUCCGUUGGAUUCCUUGAUAAGCUUAGGGAAUUUUUUGUUACUGGAUGCCGCAAGCUUAGGAUUUUUCCGAAAAGAUUCAAGUUGAGAUCUCUACGUAUUUUUUAUCUUGAUUAUUGCUCGAGUCUUGAAGACUUUCCAGAGAUUGAAUGUGAAAUGGAAUUUUUACAUGUGCUAGAGUUUUGCGGCACUAGCAUAAAAGAACUACCUUCAUCAAUUGAGAACCUCAAAGGACUUAAAAACUUAAAUCUAGAAAGCUCUAGUCUAAAAAAGCUACCUUCAUCAAUUGGCAACCUUACUCAGCUUGAAGAAUUAUAUGCAAAAGGCUGCAUUGAUCAGCUACAAAGUCUACAUAUUGUCAAAGUCGACGGUUAUCCUCAAGUACCAAUAGACAUUGGAAAGGUGGAGGAGGAUGGUAUACAAUCCACGCCAUCUGUUGUGUCUACAGGCGAAGAAUGUGAAAUUACAUCAACUACUGCAGAAUUGACUCCGACAAAUUCAAGCAUUUUUAAUGAUGCAGGUUCCUCCUCAAGCGCAAUUUGGAAAUCGUUACAAGAUUUAAGUCUUCGAUUCUGUUGCCUGUCAGAAUCAAAUUUCUUCAUGAAUGGUAACUACUUUCCCGCUUUGGAUAUGUUAAAUCUAAGUGGGAGUGAUAUUGUUAUCUUUCCACCUCAAAGCGUUACAUUUGAUAGGUUGCGAGACCUUUGUUUGAACAAUUGCAAGAAACUUGAAGAAAUUUUACCUCUUCCAUUGAGUAUAUCAACUGUUGCAGCUCGUGGAUGCACGUCAUUGGAAAGUUUUACACUACUAUCUGAAAUACUUAUUAAAAACAAUGGAACGAGUUUUUCUAACUUCCUAUUUAUUGACUUGUACGGAUGCCAUAAACUACUUGCGGAUAUGAGGCCGAUUCCUCAAU